Molecule: ribosomal RNA, 931 nt
Filed under: Triticum aestivum (bread wheat)
Lineage: Eukaryota; Viridiplantae; Streptophyta; Magnoliopsida; Poales; Poaceae
Description: partial small subunit ribosomal RNA
Source: RNAcentral
GCUACACCUCUCUCUCCCUCACCUCUCCUCCAGCUCCGGCCGCUGCCACGGCCAGGCCGGCGUGGUGGUGCGCCUCCCAUCCAUCAGCGCCGCAAGCCAUCACCAUCUCCAUCCAUCUCCACGCACCAUCCAUCAACGCCGCCACCAGCGCCGCAUCACCACCUCGCACCCCCAGCACAUCACACCACGAGCUCCUCACUGAACCUCCUGCCACCGAUCUGAAGCUCUUGUUCUUCUCUCAACGCCCCUGAUGCUCCUUCUCCUUGCACCUCCUUGUUGCUGCUCUUCCCCUCCUUUUCUGCUACUCAAAUCUCUCUGCUGCUCCCUCACGCUCCUGCCUGCCGCUGCUCUUUCUCUAACCUCCCCACGCCUCUGCUCUGCUUCCUCACCUCCAUUGCUGCUCCCUUCUUCUCAACGUGACCUGCUGCCGCACCUUCUGCUCCUUAUCUCCUUCUUCAACCUGCUGCUGCUCGCCCUCAACCCUCUCUGCUGCUUUUCUUCUCCCUCAACGCCUGCUGCUGAUUCCUCUCAACGCCCCCUACUACUUCUUUCUUCUUCCACCUGCUGCUGCUUCUCUUUAGAUCCACAAAAACUGCUGCUGCUGCUCUCUCUCUCUCUCUCUGAAUUUUCUAUAAGCUAAGAUGUGUAAAAUUUUGUAAUAUUCAGAUUUUUAAGAGUGUUGGCAACAUGUAGCUUGUUCUGUUUGGUACUUGUAAUAUAUAAUGCUUGUCUUGAAUUUCUGUAGGCUGUGAGAAAUAAUUGUCCUUGAAAUCUUGCUCUGUGAUUUAGUAACCUUCUAGUAUAUUUGUGUGAUCACCUUGUGUACUAGUCCCUGUACUAGUUCUCUGUACUUAUCCUAUUUGUAGUCUCUGUGUGUGUUAGCUCUAGUACCUGUGAUAUGUAUGAGUGUUUGUGUUGUGAUAUAUUUCUG